GCCGGUGGACGUGAUGACCACUCUUUUUUCCCCAUCAGAUCGACAAUGCUGAUGGUUCUUUGCCUUUGCCAGUUACUUCUGAUCACACCGGC
Sorex fumeus (smoky shrew) is the source of this 92-nucleotide small nucleolar RNA. RefSeq annotates it as small nucleolar SNORD12/SNORD106. The record is from RefSeq and is a predicted model, not a curated record. Lineage: Eukaryota; Metazoa; Chordata; Mammalia; Eulipotyphla; Soricidae. The transcript has a single exon.